Molecule: ribosomal RNA, 449 nt
Filed under: Podarcis peloponnesiacus (Peloponnese wall lizard)
Lineage: Eukaryota; Metazoa; Chordata; Lepidosauria; Squamata; Lacertidae
Description: partial large subunit ribosomal RNA
Rfam family: Bacterial large subunit ribosomal RNA
Source: RNAcentral
UCACUUGUCCCCUAAAUAGGGACUGGAAUGAAUGGCUUAAUGAGGACAAAACUGUCUCUUACGGACUAGCCAAUGAAAUUGAUCCUUCAGUACAAAAGCUGAAAUUAACCCAUAAGACGAGAAGACCCUGUGGAGCUUCAAAACCAAAACCACCAAACAUGCUUCCUGGUUUUUUAGUUGGGGCGACUUUGGAGCAAAAAAAACCCUCCAAAACAUAAAUCCAUUUAUUAAGACUAACACAUCAAAAAUAAUAUCAUAGACCCAGCAGUACCUAUUUACUGCCUGACCAAUGAACCAAGUUACCCCAGGGAUAACAGCGCCAUCCUCUUCUAGAGUCCCUAUCGACAAGAGGGUUUACGACCUCGAUGUUGGAUCAGGGCACCCCUAUAGUGCAGCCGCUAUAAAAGGUUCGUUUGUUCAACGAUUAAAGUCCUACGUGAUCUGAGUUC